RNAcentral lists this ribosomal RNA (494 nucleotides) under uncultured bacterium. RNAcentral's name for it is "bacterial SSU rRNA". It matches the Rfam family "Bacterial small subunit ribosomal RNA", at positions 28 to 511 of the family's 1533-position model. The record is from RNAcentral.
GAUGAACGCUAGCGACAGGCCUAACACAUGCAAGUCGAGGGGCAGCGGGAUUGAAGCUUGCUUCAAUUGCCGGCGACCGGCGCACGGGUGAGUAACGCGUAUCCAACCUUCCGUACACUCAGGGAUAGCCUUUCGAAAGAAAGAUUAAUACCUGAUGGUACGAUGAGAUUGCAUGAUAGCAUCAUUAAAGAUUUAUCGGUGUACGAUGGGGAUGCGUUCCAUUAGGUAGUAGGCGGGGUAACGGCCCACCUAGCCUACGAUGGAUAGGGGUUCUGAGAGGAAGGUCCCCCACAUUGGAACUGAGACACGGUCCAAACUCCUACGGGAGGCAGCAGUGAGGAAUAUUGGUCAAUGGGCGGAAGCCUGAACCAGCCAUGCCGCGUGAAGGACUAAGGCCCUACGGGUCGUAAACUUCUUUAGACGCAGAGCAAUAAGGUCCACGUGUGGACCGAUGAGAGUAUGCGUAGAAUAAGCAUCGGCUAACUCCGUGCCAG